Drosophila persimilis is the source of this 567-nucleotide non-coding RNA. The record is from Rfam. Lineage: Eukaryota; Metazoa; Arthropoda; Insecta; Diptera; Drosophilidae.
AGUAUAGGGGCGAAAGACCAAUCGAACCAUCUAGUAGCUGGUUCCUUCCGAAGUCUCCCUCAGGAUAGCUGGUGCAUUUUAAUGUUAUAUAAAAUAAUCUUAUCUGGUAGAGCGAAUGAUUAGAGGCCUUAGGGUCGAAACGAUCUUAACCCUAUUCUCAAACUUUAAAUGGGUAAGAACCUUAACUUUUCUUGAUAUGAAGUUUAAGGUUGUGAUAUAAGGUGCCCAGUGGGCCACUUUUUGUACGCAGAACUGGCGCUGUGUGAUGAACCAAACGUAAUGUUACGGUGGCCAAAUUAACAACUCAUGCAGAAGCCGUGAAAGGCGUUGGUCGCUUACGACAGCAGGACGGUGAUCAUGGAAGUCGAACUCCGCUAAGGAGUGUGUACUCAUUAACCUGCCGUGACUAUUUAGCCCUUCAAAAGCUGCGCUUUAGUGGUAUUCCCUAUACAUUACCGCUAAAGUAGAUGAUUUAUAUUACUCGUGAUAUAAAUUUUGAAACUGUAGUGAGUAGGAAGGUACAAUGGUAUUUAUUUAUUUAUUAAAUUAAAAAAUUAUCUGUUAAUA